This 21-nucleotide microRNA is filed under the name Brachypodium distachyon (stiff brome). RNAcentral describes it as "bdi-miR9499". Lineage: Eukaryota; Viridiplantae; Streptophyta; Magnoliopsida; Poales; Poaceae. The record is from miRBase by way of RNAcentral.
CCCUCGUCGACGCGGCAGCUC